AGAGUUUGAUCCUGGCUCAGGACGAACGCUGGCGGUGCGCCUUAUGCAUGCAAGUUGAGCGAAGCUUUUCAGUAGUUUACUACAGAAAAUGACUGAGCGGCGAACGGGUGAGUAACGCGUGAGCAAUCUACCUUAGUUACUGGGAUAGCCCGAGGAAACUCGGAUUAAUACCGGAUAUUCUUAUUUUUUCACAUGAAGUUUUAAGGAAAGGUCAGCCGAACUAAGAUGAGCUCGCGUUCUAUCAGCUAGUUGGUGGGGUAAAAGCCUACCAAGGCAACGACGGAUAGCUGGUCUGAGAGGACGAUCAGCCACACUGGGACUGAGACACGGCCCAGACUCCUACGGGAGGCUGCAGCAGGGAAUAUUGUGCAAUGAGCGAAAGCUUGACACAGCGACACCGCGUGUGGGAUGACGGUUCUAGGAUUGUAAACCACUUUCAGGAGGGAAGAAAAUGACGGUACCUCCACAAGAAGACCCGGCCAACUAUGUGCCAGCAGCCGCGGUAAU
RNAcentral lists this ribosomal RNA (507 nucleotides) under uncultured bacterium. RNAcentral describes it as "bacterial SSU rRNA". It matches the Rfam family "Bacterial small subunit ribosomal RNA", at positions 8 to 524 of the family's 1533-position model. The record is from RNAcentral.